Molecule: ribosomal RNA, 253 nt
Filed under: uncultured bacterium
Lineage: Bacteria
Description: partial 16S ribosomal RNA
Rfam family: Bacterial small subunit ribosomal RNA
Source: RNAcentral
UACGGAGGAUCCAAGCGUUGUCCGGAUUUAUUGGGUUUAAAGGGUGCGUAGGCGGACUUAUAAGUCAGAGGUGAAAGCCGGUAGCUUAACUAUCGAAUUGCCUUUGAAACUGUAAGUCUUGAAUUUUGUUGAGGUAGGCGGAAUGUAUCAUGUAGCGGUGAAAUGCAUAGAUAUGAUACAGAACACCGAUUGCGAAGGCAGCUUACUAAGCAAAUAUUGACGCUGAGGCACGAAAGCGUGGGGAUCAAACAGG